GGAGAGAUGUCUGAGUGGUUGAAAGAGCCGGUCUUGAAAACCGGUGACGGUUUGCGCCGUCCGUGGGUUCGAAUCCCACUCUCUCCUCCA
RNAcentral lists this transfer RNA (90 nucleotides) under Clostridia bacterium. RNAcentral describes it as "tRNA-Ser". It matches the Rfam family "tRNA". Rfam says of the family: Transfer RNA (tRNA) molecules are approximately 80 nucleotides in length. Their secondary structure includes four short double-helical elements and three loops (D, anti-codon, and T loops). Further hydrogen bonds mediate the characteristic L-shaped molecular structure. tRNAs have two regions of fundamental functional importance: the anti-codon, which is responsible for specific mRNA codon recognition, and the 3' end, to which the tRNAs corresponding amino acid is attached (by aminoacyl-tRNA synthetases). tRNAs cope with the degeneracy of the genetic code in two manners: having more than one tRNA (with a specific anti-codon) for a particular amino acid; and 'wobble' base-pairing, i.e. permitting non-standard base-pairing at the 3rd anti-codon position. The record is from RNAcentral. Lineage: Bacteria; Bacillati; Bacillota; Clostridia. RNAcentral also lists the same sequence under 1 other name.